Molecule: ribosomal RNA, 1939 nt
Filed under: human gut metagenome
Description: bacterial LSU rRNA
Rfam family: Bacterial large subunit ribosomal RNA
Source: RNAcentral
UUAUGCUAAUAAGAGCGUAUGGUGGAUGCCUUGGCACUAAGAGCCGAUGAAAGACGUGAUAAGCUGCGAAAAGCUUCGGGGAGGAGCAAAUAUCCUGAGAUCCGGAGAUAUCUGAAUGGGGAAACCUACUUGAGAAGACCUCAAGUAUCCACAGCCCAAUCCAUAAGCUGUGGAAGGGAACCCGGUGAACUGAAACAUCUAAGUAGCCGGAGGAAGAGAAAACAACAUGUGAUUCCGUAAGUAGCGGCGAGCGAACGCGGAAGAGCCCAAACCGGAGUGCGUGCACUCCGGGGUUCGGACUGCAGGAUUGACGAGUGAGCCUAGUAGAAUGGUUUUGGGAAAGCCAGCCAGAGAGGGUGAAAGCCCCGUACACGAAAGGCAAGCGAGCAUGGCAGGAUCCAGAGUACCACGAGACACGUGAAACCUUGUGGGAAUGAGCGGGGACCACCCCGUAAGGCUAAAUACUCCUUAGUGACCGAUAGCGCAUAGUACUGUGAAGGAAAGGUGAAAAGGACCCCGGGAGGGGAGUGAAAGAGAACCUGAAACCAUAUGUUUACAAGCUGUGGAACAUCUUUAUAUGAUGAACCGCGUACUUUUUGUAGAACGGUCCGGCGAGUUACGCUGGCUGGCGAGGUUAAGGGCUGAAGGCCUGGAGCCGAAGGGAAACCGAGUCUGAACAGGGCGAAAUAGUCAGUCGGAGUAGACCCGAAACCGGGUGAUCUAUCCAUGUCCAGGUUGAAGUUGCCGUAAAAGGCAAUGGAGGACCGAACCCACAUCCGUUGAAAAGGGUGGGGAUGAGGUGUGGAUAGGGGAGAAAUUCCAAUCGAACCCGGAGAUAGCUGGUUCUCCUCGAAAUAGCUUUAGGGCUAGCCUCAUGCAAGUCUUACGGAGGUAGAGCACUGAAUUCCUAAGGGGGCGUCAAAGCUUACCAAGGGAUAUCAAACUCCGAAUGCCGUGUAGAUGGUGCAUGGGAGUCAGACUAUCCGAGAUAAGUUGGGUAGUCAAAAGGGAAAGAGCCCAGACCUACAGCUAAGGUCCCAAAAUGUGUGUUAAGUGGAAAAGGAUGUGGGAUUUCGAAGACAACUAGGAUGUUGGCUUAGAAGCAGCCAUCCAUUAAAAGAGUGCGUAAUAGCUCACUAGUCGAGAGGUCCUGCGCCGAAAAUGUCCGGGGCUGAAACACACUACCGAAGCUUGGGAAUUGACGAAUGUUAAUUGGUAGAGGAGCAUUCUUAACGGGGCGAAGCUGUACCGGAAGGAGCAGUGGACUGUUAAGAAGAGAGAAUGCCGGAAUGAGUAGCGAGAGGAAGGUGAGAAUCCUUCCGGCCGAAUAUCUAAGGUUUCCAGAGUAAAGCUGAUCUGCUCUGGGUAAGUCGGGGCCUAAGGCGAGGUCGAAAGACGUAGUCGAUGGAUAACAGGUAAAGAUUCCUGUACUAUAUCAUAACAGAACUGUGGGGACGCAGACAGAGAGCAUAAGCCGGGAAUGGAAAAACCGGUACAAGCGAGGUAGGAGUGCAUCAGGCAAAUCCGGUGCACAAUCUGAAGACGUGAUGUGGGGCGUAAAGCCGGAAGUAUGUGAGCUGGCUGCCAAGAAAAGCCGCUAUUGUUUAUGAUAUACCCGUACCGUAAACCGACACAGGUGGAUGAGGAGAGAAUCCUAAGGCCGACGGGAGAAGCAUUGUUAAGGAACUCGGCAAAAUGACUCCGUAACUUCGGGAGAAGGAGUGCCAUGUAAAAGUGGCCGCAGAGAAUUGGCCCAAGCAACUGUUUAGCAAAAACACAGGUCUAUGCAAAACCGAAAGGUGAGGUAUAUGGGCUGACGCCUGCCCGGUGCUGGAAGGUUAAGGGGAGAGGUUAGUCGUAAGGCGAAGCUUUGAACUUAAGCCCCAGUAAACGGCGGCCGUAACUAUAACGGUCCUAAGGUAGCGAAAUUCCUUGUCGG